AGCUAGAAAAAAAGUUCUUUGUAUACACAUUGUUUCGUUGGAUUACUUGUAACUCCCCCGUCGUGUCGUACGCAAUAGCAAUUUACUUUUCCACGCUAUGGGCGCCGUGAUAGGCCAACAUUUAAAAAUUAUUUAGGAUAUAUACUAUGUCUACUCCAGUUACUGGUACUGUAAAAUGGUUCAACGAAACUAAAGGCUUCGGUUUCAUCAAACAAGAAAACGGCCCAGACGUUUUCGCACACUUCAGCGCUAUCCAAGGUGACGGUUUCCGUACUCUUGCUGAAGGUCAACAAGUUGAGUUCGUUAUUACUCAAGGCCAAAAAGGCCCUCAAGCUGAAAGCAUCAAAGUAGUAUAAUCUAGUUUUACUUUUUGAUUUCUUAAAAUAGCCAGCGCAAGCUGGCUAUUUUUUU
This 411-nucleotide small RNA is filed under the name Vibrio palustris. Its description in RNAcentral is "cspA thermoregulator". It matches the Rfam family "cspA thermoregulator". The record is from Rfam by way of RNAcentral. Lineage: Bacteria; Pseudomonadati; Pseudomonadota; Gammaproteobacteria; Vibrionales; Vibrionaceae.